RNAcentral lists this long non-coding RNA (596 nucleotides) under Heterocephalus glaber (naked mole-rat). Its description in RNAcentral is "lncRNA (ENSHGLG00000038442.1)". The record is from RNAcentral. Lineage: Eukaryota; Metazoa; Chordata; Mammalia; Rodentia; Bathyergidae.
GUCUGGACAGUGCUGUCAAUCCCCUAUUUACAUUUCAUUUUGAAACAGGGUCUCACUAAGUCGCUAAGGUGUCCCAACUAGGCUUAAAUUUGUGACCCUCCACGGUGCUGGAGGUCCGAUAUGAAGUGGCCCCAGUCAGCCUGGAGGAGUCUAGGAAGGGAGACUGGACCCUCCUGAGGGAGGGGUGUCUCAUCUCCCAGGUUUUCGGCACCAGUUGUUAGAGUAAAUGAAGGCACGACAGAGACCACCAGAGCAGGCAAAAAUGAAGCAACAAGAGAGCUUUUAUUUCCAACUGGCUUUACUCGUGGGAUUCCCCCAAUGGAGGGUGUGGGAGUCUUGCCUUCCUCUCCAGAGUGUAACCAAAAGACACCUACCUCUAGGAGUGUCUAUGGAUGAUUGACAUUGUCUAUCAAACUAACGGGGGAAACCCCACCCCGGAUGUAGGGCACAGCCAAUAAGUUUGUAGCUUGGACAAUAAAACCGGAAGGACAAAGAUGUGUUUUCGUUUUGGAGGCGGUGUGGUUUUCACCAUGUUGGCUUCCAUGUUGUAUGCUGGACUCAUUCCCUCAGCCUUCUGAAAGAGGCUCAUCCUUGAA